GAUCCACCAAAAGAGAAAAAAUACUUUGGGAAGCAAUAUAAUUACCAAGCUUUCUGUGCCUCAGUAGAUACCUGAUUUCCAGAAUUUCCUCUAGAGACUUCUGGGAAUUUUCUCUUGGGUGAGACCAGUAACACUCUUGGUUGAUCUGAAAAUAUUUUCGAUGCAAAAAUUCCUUCAUUCUGUGUAUUUUCUGGCAUAUCUGUUUUAAAUAACUUCUCUGGAUUCUAUUUGCCAUCUGUUUGGUUUAUUUACUAAUUCACUAAUGAUGAUGGUUUUUUAUGUAAAUAACAUUUUGUGAGAAAGUAAUCAAGUCUUAGGAUAUAAACUUCAACAAAAAAGUGGCUUAAACCUAAAAAUCAUUCUUUUAAACUAACAGUAUUUAGAGGAACAGUUAAAUAUAAUUUCAGUCUGUCCCCUCUUCUUUGAGAAGAAUAGAGUAACCAUCCUCCUUUCCACUUGUCUUGCUCCCAUUUAGGCAAGAAUCAAAAUAUUUCUUGGAUAAAGAUAGGUAAGAUUCAGAGAUAUUUAUUUAAGUCUUCCUGCUAACAACAUUUAAAGAAACCUUGUGGACAGGUAAUAAUAUAGAUGGGUGACACAUACCUUACAUAUAGUUAAGGAACAAGGAUUUUAUUUGUGAUAGACUACUUUGGCAAGGGAAUUAAGCAAUACCCAUUUUUUUCUGAAAUUUUAUAUGACAAUUUUUCCUUUUCUUUUUUUCCCCUUUUACUGCCAUAGUCAUAAUCAUAAUGCAGUUACACAAAGUUCAGCAAACCUGUUCCACUAUUUAAAGUGAAUCUCCGGAAAUAUAAAAGUCUUGAGGUAAAUCAACAUUUUAUGUAUGACCCAAAUCAAAAGCUGCCUGUGAACACUGGAUGACAGAUGCUCACUUAAAGGACUAAUUAAAAUUGAAGAUAGCAGGACUUUAAACAAAUGUCAAGGAUUUUAUUUCUAGCCUACAGACACAAAAAUGGUAUUGUCAUAUUUAUUCCUUUCACAUUUUAUUUUCAAUUUGGUAAGAGCUAUGAUUCUCCUUAUUUAAAAAAAAAAAGCCUUUAUGAUUUCAUUUUAUUCUACCAAAUCUUAUUCACAUGCUGAGUAGUCAUAUAUUAUGUGAUCUUAGCAUGUGCAUGUUUAAUGAUCUUCUAAUUAUUUGUGUGAAUUGAUAUGUAAAGUAGUGGAUGCUCAACAAAGGUUUGGCAUUGUAGUGUGGGUCCAAUUAGAAAAUGUAUUCUCUACAGUUAAAGAUGUUUCUUUAAAUUUUCAUAAUAAGCUGGUAGGUAUAGAAGAAUUUGUCUACAUCUUGAAGACUUUAUAUAUUCACAUUCUCACACAAUGAACUAAAUGUAAUUGAUGAUCUGAGGCACUAUUUUAAAGUCAGUACAAUAUACAAGAAAAAUAUAAGCUAAUUAAAAAGAUAACUUUAAGGAAAGGCUUUAACAGUUUGGAAAUUAGGCAGAGUUCUUUCCUCCUUCUCCUCUUUUUCCUCCUCCUUCUCCUCCUCCUCCUCCUCCUCUUUCUCCUUCUCUUCUUUCUUUUCCUCUUCCUUCUCCUCUAGUGGUCUAUAUACUUUAUUGAGUUAUUUUGGAUAAAAGAAGUUCCUAGUUUUAUUUGUAGUUCAAAGGUUUUCUUAAUUUUGAUUUUAUUAAUCUCUCCUUUGAUGUUCAGAAUUUCUAAUUUGGUGUUUAACUGAGGUUUUUAAUUUUAGGGGUGUGUGUAUGUGUGUAUUUAGUUGCAUGCCCAAUUCAUUGAUUGGCUCUUUCUCUAUUUUAUUAAAUAUUUAGAGAUAUAAAUUUUCCCCUAAGUAGGGAGAAGAUUUUCUUGCAGUAGCUAAUGUUAGAAUUGGAUCUUGAAGAAAGCUCAGAUUGUGAUUGAGAAUAAGGAUCCUCCUGCCUUCCCCACAGAAACCAAAACACAUUCCAGAGGACCUCAAGAAAACUAGCUGAGCCCCAGGCAAGGAGACAAUACCUUGAAGGAGAUAAUAAAGAAUUUGGUCUUUUAACACCUGGCUAUUCUCAUGGUGAUUACUCAGCUAAAAUGAAAGCUGGUUCCAAGACCUCCAGAAAACCAACCAAAUCUGUCCACAUCCAGAGAAAAAAUACUGAUGGAGUCUGAACACAGAUAGAUACAUUCUAUUUUCACUUUUUAAAAAAUAUAGUUUGUUCCUUUGUUCUGUUUCUUGUUUUAUAGCAUGAUUACUGUAGAAGCAUAUUUUACAUGAUUGCACAUAUAUAAUAUAUAGCAAAUUGCUUAUUGUCAUAAAAAAGGGAGAGGAGGGGGAAAGAAAAAUUUGGAAAUAAAAAUCCUAUAAAAAAGAAUGUAAAAAUUUGUCUUUACAUGUAACUGAGAAAAAUGUAAUGCCAGUAAAUCAACAGUAAAAUAAAAGAAAUAUGAAGUAUGGGGUUUAAUUUCAUAAGAAAUCAUUAAGUAAACUUAAAAUAUUUCCUUUCUUAAAGAAGUGUACUUGAAAUUUAGUUCUUUA
RNAcentral lists this long non-coding RNA (2479 nucleotides) under Sarcophilus harrisii (Tasmanian devil). RNAcentral describes it as "lncRNA (ENSSHAG00000024798.1)". The record is from RNAcentral. Lineage: Eukaryota; Metazoa; Chordata; Mammalia; Dasyuromorphia; Dasyuridae.